GGAGGGGGCGGCUAUCAUGCAAGUCGAGCGGAUGGAUUAAGAGCUUGCUCUUAUGAAGUUAGCGGCGGACGGGUGAGUAACACGUGGGUAACCUGCCCAUAAGACUGGGAUAACUCCGGGAAACCGGGGCUAAUACCGGAUAACAUUUUGAACCGCAUGGUUCGAAAUUGAAAGGCGGCUUCGGCUGUCACUUAUGGAUGGACCCGCGUCGCAUUAGCUAGUUGGUGAGGUAACGGCUCACCAAGGCAACGAUGCGUAGCCGACCUGAGAGGGUGAUCGGCCACACUGGGACUGAGACACGGCCCAGACUCCUACGGGAGGCAGCAGUAGGGAAUCUUCCGCAAUGGACGAAAGUCUGACGGAGCAACGCCGCGUGAGUGAUGAAGGCUUUCGGGUCGUAAAACUCUGUUGUUAGGGAAGAACAAGUGCUAGUGGAAUGAGCUGGCACCUUGACGGUACCUAACCAGAAAGCCACGGCUAACUACGUGCCAGCAGCCGCGGUAAUACGUAGGUGGCAAGCGUUAUCCGGAAUUAUUGGGCGUAAAGCGCGCGCAGGUGGUUUCUUAAGUCUGAUGUGAAAGCCCACGGCUCAACCGUGGAGGGUCAUUGCAAACUGGGAGACUUUGA
This 627-nucleotide ribosomal RNA is filed under the name Bacillus subtilis. Its description in RNAcentral is "bacterial SSU rRNA". It matches the Rfam family "Bacterial small subunit ribosomal RNA", at positions 38 to 646 of the family's 1533-position model. The record is from RNAcentral. Lineage: Bacteria; Bacillati; Bacillota; Bacilli; Caryophanales; Bacillaceae.